Molecule: ribosomal RNA, 253 nt
Filed under: uncultured bacterium
Lineage: Bacteria
Description: partial 16S ribosomal RNA
Rfam family: Bacterial small subunit ribosomal RNA
Source: RNAcentral
GACAGAGGUCCCGAGCGUUAGGCGGAAUCACUGGGCUUAAAGCGUGUGUAGGCGGCGGCCUAAGUACCUUGUGAAAUCCCACGGCUCACCCGUGGAACUGCUCGGUAUACUGGGUCGCUUGAGCCACUUAGGGGCUACCGGAACAAAUGGUGGAGCGGUGAAAUGCGUAGAUAUCAUUUGGAACGCCAAUGGUGAAAACAGGUAGCUGGGAGUGUGCUGACGCUGAGACACGAAAGCCAGGGGAGCGAACGGG